RNAcentral lists this long non-coding RNA (866 nucleotides) under Marmota monax (woodchuck). The record is from RNAcentral. Lineage: Eukaryota; Metazoa; Chordata; Mammalia; Rodentia; Sciuridae.
AGUUAGCAGGAGGCCUCCAUGAACCCAUGAAUCCUCCCAUCCUGGCCUCCAGUGCGCUCUGGCUCUGCCACCCUCCAAUUUGGAACUAAGAAAUAACAAGAGUGCCGGCCUGUGCCUAUGCUGAUGGGCGGAGAAGGUUGAGUGCUGAGCAUGCCAGUAAGCCAGGAGAGGCCCAGUACAUCAGCCACUGAGGAGUGGAUGCCUUCUGCCAUGUCCUGGCUCAAAGCUAUUAGCUGGCAGGUGGCCCGGGGACUGAGACUACCAGAGGAGGGGUCAGAGCCACCAGGGAGGAAGAUUUGGCCUGCCAAAUGUGUAGAAUGGUGGUGAGGAGGCAGGACCUGGGUAGGGGGGCGGGGCUGGGUGGAAGUCUGAGGCAGGAAGAGAUAGGUUAUCUGGCAGACAGUGCCAGUACACUGAAAUCCAUGUCAGGGUGUGGCCUAGGGCAGCAGGGAAGAGGAGAAAGGUCAGAGUAGGUGAGGUCGGUUGGUGCAGUGGUGUGGUAGGGUUGGCAAGAAAAUCAUGGUGCAGCUCUCUUUGCCUGGAGUAGCAACAAAUAAGGGGGACCAAGCUGUAUGGUGAACCUUGCAAUCCUGGUGGAAUAAGAGGACCAGGAGGGUUUAAAGGUUUAAAAAUGGUUUCAGGCUGACCCCAGUGCCUUAGGGUGUGGGGCAGACCAAGGAAACCAACCAGGUGUGUAGAGAGGGGAGUACGUGUCAGUGGUGUUCUCAGGCCUGUGCUACCCAUUUCCUGGGAUGGAAAGCAGUGUCUAUGGACAUCUGGGAAGAAUGGGGACAUGGGCUCAUCCAGGACUUGGGGAGGUCACUUCCAUUCUCCUACCCCCAUCACCCUCAGAAUCCUGAAGAAGC